GUCCCUCACUUGCCAAAAAAAAUCCCCGUUCGUCUCCUCUCGAAACAAAACAAUUCCCCGUUCGUCUCCCCACAUGUGCCUGUUCCCAUCUGUCCUCUCCCUCUCGACCCACGACGAGGCUCCAGCGUCGCGCCUUGGACCUCCCCGUGUCCGGAGAUGGCCCGGCUGGGUGCCGCUCAUAAGGAGGCUCCUUCGUCCAGGCCCUCCGCCGACUCAAGAUUUGGCGGCCCUCUACUCCUCAACGCCCCACAUCGAGAGCCCAAUCUAGGAAAUUAGCCCCGUUGCGCUGCACACCUCAUACCCCUGCGUCGUCACAAGAUGGUCCGGCUGGGCGCCGCUAUGACGCACGAGCGUUUGAUGUCCAUGGAAGCCAGCUCCGCCACCCAGGCCCUCCUAUGCAAGGUCGGCGAGGACACUGCUUUCUCGAAGUAGAUCGCGCAGAUCUAUCCGAUAUGAUGUAAACGAUACAAAUACAGGGAUUGCACAUAAGUCAUUGGAUUUGACCUUUGUGAGGAAUGCUACAUCACUGUGCAAUGCAUUCAUGAGAUUCCAAGGGAUGCUCAGGGAAGGUCAACAAUAGCUGAUUGUAGAUGAAGUAUUUAUUGGUCCUGGCGCUAUGUGCAUAUAUAGUGGCUGAUGAUGAUGAAGUACUGAACAAUGACGAGGAUAGAUAGUUGUAAAAACCAAGCAUUUCUAGCGAGGCGAAGCUAAUUCUGGGAACAAGCCUUAAUGUUGUGGGGGUCGGAUUGAAUGAAUGUAGUGUGCUAACAUGGUACAUCCCUCGAUUUGUAUUUAGUAUUCUCUUCCUGGUUAGCACUUGGAAAGUUAAUUAGUCGGCACAUAUCUAUGAUAAUAGAAGAAGUAUUAAUUAUCUGACAAUAGGUUUCUAAUUUUCUUUGUGCUUAGUCCACAAGAUAGGUGCGUGUUGUUUCUGAUAAUUACGAUAUUCUCGAACUCAACCUUUUCUGGUUUGUGCUUAAUUAAAAGUUGCUCUAUACUAGAUAUAAGGUGCCAAUACUUCAUUCUUGCAAUGUACUCUUCCCAAUAGUUGCCCUUAUGAACUUUUUAGGUGAAUGAUAGAGGGUCUUUGUUUUAAACUCAUGAAUAUGUUCCUCACAAUAGGAAGAAUGUAAUAUUGCUUGGCAUGCAUGUCUCCUUGAAGUACGGGCAUCCAAGAUUCCAUACCGUGUAUAACGGCUUUGACGUUAAUUUAGAGUACACUUUGCCCUUCCCAAGCAGUUUCAAGGUUAAUUGUGAUACAUGUGGCAUUUCAAGUAGUAAUUCCGCUCAAAGGUUAGAUGUAUACUUAAGUGUGGCUUCAAAAUUCCAUCGGUAUCUUUGUAAAAGAAUUCAUGUUUUGUUUUUGCAGAAGUCCAUAUGACCUGAUUUAUCAAUAUGCACUAUCAUAUAUGCGCUGAAAUGUAUUCUCGACAUUUUUUUAGAAAACCAGAUGGAGGAAAAUAUGUGUGUUGUUUUUAUCUGGGAAAACUGAGAGUCAGAUGCACAUGCCAAGACCAUCGUUAAUUUAUUGCGUGUUUAACGGCUCAGAAUGAAGAAUUGCUACACCGGAACCUGGGCCAUGCAGUGAUUGAUAUUUCGGUUGCAUCGCAGUUUCAUCUGAGGUAAGUUAUAAACGAUGCAUUGCUUCACCGUAUUAUAUGCCGAUGCUCUCUAAUUUAAUCUAUCCGACGUAUAUACAACUUUCUUGGUGAUCGUAUUUUUCAUGUUGUGUGUCGAUGUGUAUCACAACCUAACAUGCAGACAUAGAUAAAUUGUAAUUAUUGUUGUAUACCGUUGGUUUUGGUAAAAGCUCAUGUGUUAUAUGUUUUGGUGGGUUUUGGUAAAACCACUUCUCACCUUCAGAGAUAUAUGUUUGUUGCUUGCUCUACACAUGUCUGGUGCUCCAGCUCAUGCAUUCGUUUGAUCUGACCAUGGUGCAUGGCAUACAUGUACGGAGAAACUUUGUAUAGUGUUGUUAGCUGGUGGCAUCUACAAUUUAAGAUAAUCUAUGUGACUUAAGAUGAUGCAUGCAUGAAUUAAACCUGGCUAUUAGAUUAACUAACCUCGCAAUAUGAAACAUUGCUAUAUGUACUCCUUCAACUUAACAAAAAUGAUGUGCCCACUUGCUUUGUCAAUUGCAAAGAGGUGCGUAUGAUAUGGAGAAUCCUGAACAUGGAAGAUGAAAGACAUAUGUUGGCUGAGUGUGUUGGUCCUAAAGUGUUCCUUCAACGCUUCUUCACCUCGGAGGCCUCCAAACAAAUGCUAUGUAUUUGCUCUUAUGUGGACGUGGUGGCUAAUCUAAAACAAAGUCAAUGUUGGAGAGAAAAGAUGCCAUGUGAAUGACACACUGUACUGAAUCAUAAGAAAUGUUGUAGAUUAUGAGAUGUUAUGUCUGAAGAAACAAACAACGACUGUGACAGUGGCUCAAAGAUGGAAACCGCCUAAAGCUGAUGUGCUGAAAGUGAACAUUGAUGGUAGUUUCUUCUCGGAUUCAGUUGAGGGAGGCUCGGGUUUUAUAGUCAGAGACAACUCAUGCAAUGCAGGGGGCUCAGGAGCAAGAAAACUUCGUGAGCUUCAAGACCCUAUGCAUGCAGAGGCCGAGGCAUGCUUGCAUGCAAUCCAGGAGGCUCAAACUUGGGCAAUGAGGAGAAUUACUAGACAGACGCACAGGAACUGGUGAAAGCCACCCCAUCAAAAGAUUAUGACCUGGCACCUAACGGUGUUCUCUUCCAGGAGAUCAAAGCUUACCUAGCUUUACAUUUUGUUAUGUUUAAAUAAAGUAAAGUACUGUCCUAGACUUUGUAAUUUAUAAGGUUGUAGAUGCCCUUGUGGCAUUCGAUGUGAAGAUUUGGUUGCUAGCGAUCUUGCUGUGCACUCUGGUUAAUGUAAUAAGGUUUUCCAUUAAUUUUUUUAACAAAAC
Long non-coding RNA from Triticum urartu, 2920 nucleotides. RefSeq lists it as uncharacterized. NCBI's taxonomy places the organism in Eukaryota, Viridiplantae, Streptophyta, Magnoliopsida, Poales, Poaceae. The record is from RefSeq and is a predicted model, not a curated record.